Long non-coding RNA from Pongo pygmaeus (Bornean orangutan), 611 nucleotides. RefSeq lists it as uncharacterized. Lineage: Eukaryota; Metazoa; Chordata; Mammalia; Primates; Hominidae. The transcript is spliced from 3 exons. The record is from RefSeq and is a predicted model, not a curated record.
AAAUGGGAUGCCUGCGUGUUAACUGACAGUGGCCUGGCCAGAGGUCAGGGGGCACUAGAUCCUUGGCAAGAAAGCUAAGGGAUCAACAGCUGAGAUGUGAGACGCCAGGCGCAUGGCAGCUCACACGUACAUGGCCCGGGACAUGACAAAGCCUUUGCCCUGGGUCUCACCCUGAUGCCCAGGCUGGAGUGUAGUGGCGUGGCCCCAACCACCUGGGCUUAAGCAAUCCGCCCACCUCGGCCUACAGGCAUUUGCCACCACACCCAGCGUCUGCUCUUUCCGCUGCUGCCGGCAGAUAAGGAUGCCCGUGGCAGCCACAGCAGUAGCAAUGAUGGCAGCGAUGAUGCCCCCGAUGAUGCCGCCUGUGGCCCCUGCGCCUGCUGUGUUGGGGGUCUCUGCAAGGAGAGGGACAGCGUGAGGGGGUCUCCAGGAGGAAGCCACAGCUCCUUAUUCCAAGCGACCAUCCCACCCCACGUCAUCGCCUGCCUGUCUAUGUCCUCUCCCACAGGCAGGGGACAUUCUUUCAUUCAACUCAAACUGCUGAGCAUGAGGAAGGAGCGAGGAUGUGUGCCCCGCAUGGGAGAUGAGUGGAGAACAAAACAUACAAAGUG